Molecule: unclassified non-coding RNA, 303 nt
Filed under: plant metagenome
Description: partial contains 5.8S ribosomal RNA, internal transcribed spacer 2, and large subunit ribosomal RNA
Rfam family: 5.8S ribosomal RNA (bases 1-105)
Source: RNAcentral
GAAAUGCGAUAAGUAAUGUGAAUUGCAGAAUUCAGUGAAUCAUCGAAUCUUUGAACGCACAUUGCGCCCGCCAGUAUUCUGGCGGGCAUGCCUGUUCGAGCGUCAUUUCAACCAUCAAGCCCCCGGCUUGUGUUGGGGACCUGCGGCUGCCCGCAGGCCCUGAAAACCAGUGGUGGGCUCGCUGUCACACCGAGCGUAGUAGCAUACAUCUCGCUCAGGGCGUGCUGCGGGUUCCGGCCGUUAAAAGCCUUUUUUACCCAAGGUCGACCUCGGAUCAGGUAGGAAGACCCGCUGAACUUAAGC